AUAAUUUUAUAAAAUGAAUAUUAAUAAUAAUAUAGUAAA
This 39-nucleotide ribosomal RNA is filed under the name Elymnias hypermnestra (common palmfly). Its description in RNAcentral is "partial 16S ribosomal RNA". Lineage: Eukaryota; Metazoa; Arthropoda; Insecta; Lepidoptera; Nymphalidae. The record is from RNAcentral.